UACGUAGGGUGCAGGCGUUAAUCGGAAUUACUGGGCGUAAAGCGUGCGCAGGCGGUCUUUUAAGUCAGAUGUGAAAUCCCCGGGCUUAACCUGGGAACUGCGUUUGAAACUGGAAGGCUUGAGUGUGGCAGAGGGGGAGUGGAAUUCCGCGUGUAGCAGUGAAAUGCGUAGAUAUGCGGAGGAACACCGAUGGCGAAGGCAAUCCCCUGGACCUGUACUGACGCUCAUGCACGACAGCGUGGGGAGCAAACAGG
Molecule: ribosomal RNA, 254 nt
Filed under: uncultured bacterium
Lineage: Bacteria
Description: partial 16S ribosomal RNA
Rfam family: Bacterial small subunit ribosomal RNA
Source: RNAcentral